UACGUAGGGGGCAAGCGUUGUCCGGAAUCAUUGGGCGUAAAGCGCGCGUAGGCGGCCCGGUAAGUCCGUUGUGAAAGUCAAAGGCUCAACCUUUGAAUGCCGAUGGAUACUGCCGGGCUAGAGUCCGGAAGAGGCGAGUGGAAUUCCUGGUGUAGCGGUGGAAUGCGCAGAUAUCAGGAGGAACACCAAUAGCGAAGGCAGCUCGCUGGGACGGUACUGACGCUAAGGCGCGAAAGCGUGGGGAGCGAACAGG
RNAcentral lists this ribosomal RNA (253 nucleotides) under uncultured bacterium. RNAcentral's name for it is "partial 16S ribosomal RNA". It matches the Rfam family "Bacterial small subunit ribosomal RNA", at positions 524 to 776 of the family's 1533-position model. The record is from RNAcentral.